This 253-nucleotide ribosomal RNA is filed under the name uncultured bacterium. Its description in RNAcentral is "partial 16S ribosomal RNA". It matches the Rfam family "Bacterial small subunit ribosomal RNA", at positions 524 to 776 of the family's 1533-position model. The record is from RNAcentral.
GACAGAGGUGCCGAGCGUUAGGCGGAAUCACUGGGCUUAAAGCGUGUGUAGGCGGGCGGGCAAGUACCUUGUGAAAUCCCACGGCUCAACCGUGGAACGGCUGGGUAUACUGCCUGUCUUGAGCCAACUAGGGGCGAGCGGAACAGACGGUGGAGCGGUGAAAUGCGUAGAUAUCGUCUGGAACGCCAAAGGUGAAAACAGCUCGCUGGGGUUGUGCUGACGCUGAGACACGAAAGCGUGGGUAGCAAACAGG